RNAcentral lists this ribosomal RNA (424 nucleotides) under uncultured bacterium. Its description in RNAcentral is "partial 16S ribosomal RNA". It matches the Rfam family "Bacterial small subunit ribosomal RNA", at positions 359 to 775 of the family's 1533-position model. The record is from RNAcentral.
GAAUAUUGGACAAUGGGCGCAAGCCUGAUCCAGCCAUACCGCGUGGGUGAAGAAGGCCUUCGGGUUGUAAAGCCCUUUUGUUGGGAAAGAAAAGCAGUCGGCUAAUACCCGGUUGUUCUUACGGUACCCAAAGCAAACGCACCGACUAACUUCGUGCAAGCAGCCGGUGUAAUACGCUGGGUGCAAGCGUUACUCGGAAUUACUGGGCGUAAAGCGUGCGUAGGUGGUUGUUUAAGUCUGUUGUGAAAGCCCUGGGCUCAACCUGGGAAUUGCAGUGGAUACUGGGCGACUAGAGUGUGGUAGAGGGUAGUGGAAUUCCCGGUGUAGCAGUGAAAUGCGUAGAGAUCGGGAGGAACAUCCAUGGCGAAGGCAGCUACCUGGACCAACACUGACACUGAGGCACGAAAGCGUGGGGAGCAAACAG